UACGUAGGGGGCUAGCGUUGUCCGGAAUCAUUGGGCGUAAAGCGCGCGUGGGCGGCCCGGUAAGUCCGCUGUAAAAGUCAAAGGCUCAACCUUUGAAUGUCAGUGGAUACUGCCGGGCUAGAGUCCGGAAGAGGCGAGUGGAACUCCUGGUGUAGCGGUGGAAUGCGCAGAUAUCAGGAAGAACACCGACGGCGAAGGCAGCUCGCUGGGACGGUACUGACGCUGAGGCGCGAAAGCGUGGGGAGCGAACAGG
RNAcentral lists this ribosomal RNA (253 nucleotides) under uncultured bacterium. Its description in RNAcentral is "partial 16S ribosomal RNA". It matches the Rfam family "Bacterial small subunit ribosomal RNA", at positions 524 to 776 of the family's 1533-position model. The record is from RNAcentral.